RNAcentral lists this ribosomal RNA (491 nucleotides) under uncultured bacterium. RNAcentral's name for it is "partial 16S ribosomal RNA". It matches the Rfam family "Bacterial small subunit ribosomal RNA", at positions 29 to 506 of the family's 1533-position model. The record is from RNAcentral.
AGUGAACGCUGGCGGUAGGCCUAACACAUGCAAGUCGAACGGCAGCGCAGUAAGAGCUUGCUCUUACGGGUGGCGAGUGGCGGACGGGUGAGGAAUACAUCGGAAUCUACUUUUUCGUGGGGGAUAACGUAGGGAAACUUACGCUAAUACCGCAUACGACCUACGGGUGAAAGCAGGGGAUCUUCGGACCUUGCGCGAUUGAAUGAGCCGAUGUCGGAUUAGCUAGUUGGCGGGGUAAAGGCCCACCAAGGCGACGAUCCGUAGCUGGUCUGAGAGGAUGAUCAGCCACAGUGGAGGUGAGACACGAUCCAGACUCCUACGGGAGGCAGCAGUGGGGAAUAUGGGACAAUGGGCGCAAGCCUGAUCCAGCCAUACCGCGUGGGUGAAGAAGGCCUUCGGGUUGUAAAGCCCUUUUGUUGGGAAAGAAAAGCAGCAGGUUAAUACCCCGCUGUUCUGACGGUACCCAAAGAAUAAGCACCGGCUAACUUCGU